This 497-nucleotide ribosomal RNA is filed under the name uncultured bacterium. Its description in RNAcentral is "partial 16S ribosomal RNA". It matches the Rfam family "Bacterial small subunit ribosomal RNA", at positions 28 to 507 of the family's 1533-position model. The record is from RNAcentral.
GAUGAACGCUGGCGGCGUGCCUAAUACAUGCAAGUCGAGCGAACAGACGAGGAGCUUGCUCCUCUGACGUUAGCGGCGGACGGGUGAGUAACACGUGGAUAACCUACUUAUAAGACUGGGAUAACUUCGGGAAACCGGAGCUAAUACCGGAUAAUAUAUUGAACCGCAUGGUUCAAUAGUGAAAGACGGCUUUGCUGUCACUUAUCGAUGGAUCCGCGCUGCAUUAGAUAGUUGGUAAGGUAACGGCUUAUCAAGGCAACGAUGCGUAGCCGACGUGAGAGGGGGAUCGGCCACACGGGAGCUGGACCACGGUCCAGGGUCCUGCGAGAGGCAGCAGUAGGGAAUCUGCCGCAGUAGUGGGGAACCUGGCGGAGCGGCGGGGCGUGAGUGAUGGAAAUCUUCGGAUCGUAAAGCUCUGUUAUUGGGGAAGAACAGAUGUGGAAGUAGCUGUGCACGUCUUGACGGUACCUAGUCAGGAAGCCACGGCUAACUACGUG